RNAcentral lists this ribosomal RNA (292 nucleotides) under uncultured bacterium. RNAcentral describes it as "partial 16S ribosomal RNA". It matches the Rfam family "Bacterial small subunit ribosomal RNA", at positions 505 to 796 of the family's 1533-position model. The record is from RNAcentral.
GUGCCAGCAGCCGCGGUAAUGCGUAGGGUGCGAGCGUUAAUCGGAAUUACUGGGCGUAAAGCGCGCGCAGGCGGUGAUGUAAGACCGAUGUGAAAUCCCCGGGCUUAACCUGGGAACUGCAUUGGUGACUUCAUUGCUCGAGUAUGGCAGAGGGGGGUGGAAUUCCGCGUGUAGCAGUGAAAUGCGUAGAUAUGCGGAGGAACACCGAUGGCGAAGGCAAUCCCCUGGGCCUGCACUGACGCUCAUGCACGAAAGCGUGGGGAGCAAACAGGAUUAGAUACCCUUGUAGUCC